This 468-nucleotide ribosomal RNA is filed under the name uncultured bacterium. RNAcentral's name for it is "partial 16S ribosomal RNA". It matches the Rfam family "Bacterial small subunit ribosomal RNA", at positions 28 to 507 of the family's 1533-position model. The record is from RNAcentral.
GACGAACGCUGGCGGCGUGCUUAACACAUGCAAGUCGAACGGAAAGGCCCUGCUUUUGUGGGGUGCUCGAGUGGCGAACGGGUGAGUAACACGUGAGUAACCUGCCCUUGACUUUGGGAUAACUUCAGGAAACUGGGGCUAAUACCGGAUAGGAGCUCCUGCUGCAUGGUGGGGGUUGGAAAGUUUCGGCGGUUGGGUAUGGACUCGCGGCUUAUCAGCUUGUUGGUGGGGUAGUGGCUUACCAAGGCUUUGACGGGUAGCCGGCCUGAGAGGGUUACCGGCCACAUUGGGACUGAGAUACGGCCCAGACUCCUACGGGAGGCAGCAGUGGGGAAUAUUGCACAAUGGGCGGAAGCCUGAUGCAGCAACGCCGCGUGCGGGAUGACGGCCUUCGGGUUGUAAACAGCUUUCGCCUGUGACGAAGCGUGAGUGACGGUAAUGGGUAAAGAAGCACCGGCUAACUACGUG